AUGCAGCGUGGUUGUCCAACCAAUAACCUCCUUCAUAGCAUGGAGCUUAACAUUUUGAUUUUUGAUUUGGAUCCGCACGAUUUCUUCUUGUUCUAUUCUCCUCUUGUUUUGAUGUUCAUGGCUGUUGACUUUUUGGUUUUCUUGAAUCUUAGGUUUAAUUUGUUUUGAAAGGUAGUUCUGGAGCAUAUUAUCUUCCUGUUUUGUAUUCUGAUUUCUUUCUGGUGUCUUGAUUUUGAGGAGAAAAUUUUGACCAUGUGA
This is a non-coding RNA of Vicia faba (fava bean), 258 nucleotides long. Lineage: Eukaryota; Viridiplantae; Streptophyta; Magnoliopsida; Fabales; Fabaceae. The record is from the annotation of a GenBank genome assembly.